RNAcentral lists this long non-coding RNA (513 nucleotides) under Anas platyrhynchos platyrhynchos (common mallard). RNAcentral's name for it is "lncRNA (ENSAPLG00000019739.1)". The record is from RNAcentral. Lineage: Eukaryota; Metazoa; Chordata; Aves; Anseriformes; Anatidae.
AUUUUUUUUCCUGCCAAGCUAUUCAUUCAGGCUUGUGGUGUGAAAAAUAGAUGUUUAAUAGUCAAUGAAGUACUAUAGUGGGUAAUAGUUUAUAAAUUUCCAUGACUUAUUAUGCUCAGCCUAAGUGACUGUUUAUUAAGUGUAUUUAAAGCCCCCCAUCUCAUUAACUUACAGUACUGGUGAUUCCCUCCUCCUACCACUGCUGUUUUUAAUGGAAAAUAUUCACCCAUGUCUUUUGCCUAGGGCAUGUGAAACAAUUCUGUGGAAAAGAGGCUGCUUGGAUAAGAACAGGACAUCAUCCUUGGCUAGGUACAAUGUGUUUAUCAUUUUCGGAAGCAGAGUGAAUCUGAAUUAUGAGGUCUCUUGGAAGCUGAAGAUAAACAUAAGAUAACGGGGAUAUGAAAACAGAAAAAAUGGUAAGUACUCUGAUAACAUGAAGAGACAACUGUAAUAAGGUAAAAAGAUGUUGUGCAUAAAAUCCCCUCUGUUAAGGAAAAUCUGAAAAUGUUUUUU